AUGCAGUCGACGGCAGCAUAGGAGCUUGCUCCUGAUGGCGAGUGGCGAACGGGUGAGUAAUAUAUCGGAACGUGCCCUAGAGUGGGGGAUAACUAGUCGAAAGACUAGCUAAUACCGCAUACGAUCUACGGAUGAAAGUGGGGGAUCGCAAGACCUCAUGCUCCUGGAGCGGCCGAUAUCUGAUUAGCUAGUUGGUGGGGUAAAAGCCUACCAAGGCAACGAUCAGUAGCUGGUCUGAGAGGACGACCAGCCACACUGGGACUGAGACACGGCCCAGACUCCUACGGGAGGCAGCAGUGGGGAAUUUUGGACAAUGGGGGCAACCCUGAUCCAGCAAUGCCGCGUGAGUGAAGAAGGCCUUCGGGUUGUAAAGCUCUUUUGUCAGGGAAGAAACGGUAGUAGCGAAUAACUAUUACUAAUGACGGUACCUGAAGAAUAAGCACCGGCUAACUACGUGCCAGCAGCCGCGGUAAUACGUAGGGUGCAAGCGUUAAUCGGAAUUACUGGGCGUAAAGCGUGCGCAGGCGGUUGUGUAAGUCAGAUGUGAAAUCCCCGGGCUCAACCUGGGAAUUGCAUUUGAGACUGCACGGCUAGAGUGUGUC
RNAcentral lists this ribosomal RNA (602 nucleotides) under Herbaspirillum huttiense subsp. huttiense. RNAcentral's name for it is "bacterial SSU rRNA". It matches the Rfam family "Bacterial small subunit ribosomal RNA", at positions 55 to 652 of the family's 1533-position model. Lineage: Bacteria; Pseudomonadati; Pseudomonadota; Betaproteobacteria; Burkholderiales; Oxalobacteraceae. The record is from RNAcentral.